Molecule: ribosomal RNA, 449 nt
Filed under: uncultured bacterium
Lineage: Bacteria
Description: partial 16S ribosomal RNA
Rfam family: Bacterial small subunit ribosomal RNA
Source: RNAcentral
AAUGAACGCUGGCGGCAGGCCUAACACAUGCAAGUCGAACGGAUCCUUCGGGAUUAGUGGCGGACGGGUGAGUAACGCGUGGGAACAUACCCUUUGGUACGGAAUAGCCUCGGGAAACUGGGAGUAAUACCGUAUGUGGUCGAGAGACGAAAGAUUUAUCGCCAAAGGAUUGGCCCGCGUUGGAUUAGGUAGUUGGUGGGGUAAUGGCCUACCAAGCCGACGAUCCAUAGCUGGUUUGAGAGGAUGAUCAGCCACACUGGGACUGAGACACGGCCCAAACUCCUACAGGAGGCAGCAGUGGGAAAUCUUAGACAAUGGGGGAAACCCUGAUCUAGCCAUGCCGCGUGAUCGAUGAAGGCCUUAGGGUUGUAAAGAUCUUUCAGGUGGGAAGAUAAUGACUGUACCACCAGAAGAAGCCCCGGCUAACUCCGUGCCAGCCGCCGCGGUAA